CCGGCUGUAGCUCAGUGGCAGAGCGAGCGUUACUUUUCAUUUCGCACGUCCCUGGUUCGACUCCGGGCGGCUGGA
Non-coding RNA from Entophlyctis helioformis, 75 nucleotides. Lineage: Eukaryota; Fungi; Chytridiomycota; Chytridiomycetes; Chytridiales; Chytriomycetaceae. The record is from the annotation of a GenBank genome assembly.